GGAGGAAAGCAGGGGAUCGUAAGACCUUGCGCUUUUGGAGUGGCCGAUGCCUGAUUAGCUAGUUGGUGGGGUAAGAGCCUACCAAGGCGACGAUCAGUAGUUGGUCUGAGAGGACGACCAGCCACACUGGGACUGAGACACGGCCCAGACUCCUACGGGAGGCAGCAGUGGGGAAUUUUGGACAAUGGGCGAAAGCCUGAUCCAGCAAUGCCGCGUGAGUGAAGAAGGCCUUCGGGUUGUAAAGCUCUUUCAGUCGAGAAGAAAAGGUUGCGACUAAUAAUCGCAACUUAUGACGGUAUCGACAGAAGAAGCACCGGCUAACUACGUGCCAGCAGCCGCGGUAAUACGUAGGGUGCGAGCGUUAAUCGGAAUUACUGGGCGUAAAGGGUGCGCAGGCGGCUCUGUAAGUCAGAUGUGAAAUCCCCGGGCUUAACCUGGGAAUUGCGUUUGAAACUACAAAGCUAGA
RNAcentral lists this ribosomal RNA (466 nucleotides) under uncultured ammonia-oxidizing beta proteobacterium. RNAcentral describes it as "bacterial SSU rRNA". It matches the Rfam family "Bacterial small subunit ribosomal RNA", at positions 198 to 645 of the family's 1533-position model. The record is from RNAcentral. Lineage: Bacteria; Pseudomonadati; Pseudomonadota; Betaproteobacteria.